UUAGUGUCCCCAGUAAUAGGGCUU
This 24-nucleotide non-coding RNA is filed under the name Rattus norvegicus (Norway rat). The record is from RNAcentral. Lineage: Eukaryota; Metazoa; Chordata; Mammalia; Rodentia; Muridae.